RNAcentral lists this ribosomal RNA (253 nucleotides) under uncultured bacterium. RNAcentral describes it as "partial 16S ribosomal RNA". It matches the Rfam family "Bacterial small subunit ribosomal RNA", at positions 524 to 776 of the family's 1533-position model. The record is from RNAcentral.
UACGAAGGGGGCUAGCGUUGUUCGGAAUUACUGGGCGUAAAGCGCAUGUAGGCGGCCGCGCAGGUCGGAUGUGAAAUCCCUCGGCUCAACCGAGGACGUGCAUUCGAAACCGCGCGGCUCGAGUCCCGGAGAGGGUGGUGGAAUUCUCGGCGUAGAGGUGAAAUUCGUAGAUAUCGGGAGGAACACCGGCGGCGAAAGCGGCCACCUGGACGAGGACUGACGCUGAGAUGCGAAAGCGUGGGGAGCAAACAGG